This 453-nucleotide long non-coding RNA is filed under the name Homo sapiens (human). RNAcentral's name for it is "non-protein coding lnc-FOXG1-9:1". The record is from RNAcentral. Lineage: Eukaryota; Metazoa; Chordata; Mammalia; Primates; Hominidae.
AUGAAGGUCAAUCCCUUUGUGACUUCUGACCAAAGCAAGAACUGCAAAAGAUGUUUCAAUGCCCCUUCCCACAUUCUCAGGAAGAGUAUGUCUUCCCCCCGUUUCCAAAGUGCUGAGACAGAAGUUGAAGGUUAGAUCUAUGUCCAUCCAAAAGAAUGAUGGAGUUCAUGUUGUGUGAGGACACUAACAGGUCAGCAAAGCAGUCUAGAUUUACAGGAAGAAGUAUGUCAUCUUCACUGAAUGAAUGCAGCAGGAAAAGGUAAUGGCACAACUGCUCAUAUGGGCAUUCACCCCAGCAAGGUGGUUAUCGCUAGGCUAAAACUGGGCCAAGACGGCAAAAGGAUCCUUGAAUGAAAAGCCAAAUUCACCAAGUAAGAAAGAAAAAGGGCAAAUAAAAAAAAGUAAAUAAAUAAAUAAAUAAGAAAAAAAGAAACUGAGAAGAUGCUGGAAUAA